AUACGCCUACGGGGGGCAGCAGUAGGGAAUUUUCGUCAAUGGGCGCAAGCCUGAACGAGCAAUGCCGCGUGAACGAGGAAGGUCUUCGGAUCGUAAAGUUCUGUUGAAGGGGAAAAAGAGCGGAGAGAGGAAAUGAACUCCGAUUGAUAUUACCCUUCGAGGAAGUCACGGCUAACUACGUGCCAGCAGCCGCGGGAAUACGUAGGGGGCGAGCGUUAUCCGGAAUGAUUGGGCGUAAAGGGUGCGUAGGCGGCCUGCUAAGGCUGGAGUGAAAGGUACCGGCUCAACCGGUACAGGCUCUGGAA
Molecule: ribosomal RNA, 305 nt
Filed under: uncultured bacterium
Lineage: Bacteria
Description: bacterial SSU rRNA
Rfam family: Bacterial small subunit ribosomal RNA
Source: RNAcentral